GACGAACGCUGGCGGCGUGCCUAAUACAUGCAAGUCGAGCGGAACUGGGGGAGCUUGCUCCUUCCAGUUUAGCGGCGGACGGGUGAGUAACACGUGGGCAACCUGCCCUGCAGAUCGGGAUAACUCCGGGAAACCGGUGCUAAUACCGAAUAGUUUGGCGCCUCUCCUGAGGCGCUACGGAAAGACGGUUUCGGCUGUCACUGCAGGAUGGGCCCGCGGCGCAUUAGCUAGUUGGUGGGGUAACGGCCCACCAAGGCGACGAUGCGUAGCCGACCUGAGAGGGUGACCGGCCACACUGGGACUGAGACACGGCGCAGACUCCUACGGGAGGCAGCAGUAGGGAAUCUUCCGCAAUGGACGCAAGUCUGAUGGAGCAACGCCGCGUGAGUGACGAAGGUUUUCGGAUCGUAAAACUCUGUUGUGAGGGAAGAACACGUACCAACUAACUAUUGGUACCUUGACGGUACCUCACCAGAAAGCCACGGCUAACUACGUGCCAGCCGCCGCCGUAA
This 512-nucleotide ribosomal RNA is filed under the name uncultured bacterium. RNAcentral's name for it is "partial 16S ribosomal RNA". It matches the Rfam family "Bacterial small subunit ribosomal RNA", at positions 28 to 523 of the family's 1533-position model. The record is from RNAcentral.